AUUGAACGCUGGCGGCAGGCUUAACACAUGCAAGUCGAGCGGAGAUGAGGUGCUUGCACCUUAUCUUAGCGGCGGACGGGUGAGUAAUGCUUAGGAAUCUGCCUAUUAGUGGGGGACAACAUUCCGAAAGGAAUGCUAAUACCGCAUACGUCCUACGGGAGAAAGCAGGGGAUCUUCGGACCUUGCGCUAAUAGAUGAGCCUAAGUCGGAUUAGCUAGUUGGUGGGGUAAAGGCCUACCAAGGCGACGAUCUGUAGCGGGUCUGAGAGGAUGAUCCGCCACACUGGGACUGAGACACGGCCCAGACUCCUACGGGAAGCAGCAGUGGGGAAUAUUGGACAAUGGGGGAAACCCUGAUCCAGCCGUGCCGCGUGUGUGAAGAAGGCCUUAUGGUUGUAAAGCACUUUAAGCGAGGAGGAGGCUACUGAGACUAAUACUCUUGGAUAGUGGACGUUACUCGCAGAAUAAGCACCGGCUAACUCUGUGCCAGCCGCCGCCGUAA
Molecule: ribosomal RNA, 501 nt
Filed under: uncultured bacterium
Lineage: Bacteria
Description: partial 16S ribosomal RNA
Rfam family: Bacterial small subunit ribosomal RNA
Source: RNAcentral